RNAcentral lists this ribosomal RNA (393 nucleotides) under grassland soil clone sl2_520. RNAcentral describes it as "bacterial SSU rRNA". It matches the Rfam family "Bacterial small subunit ribosomal RNA", at positions 50 to 490 of the family's 1533-position model. The record is from RNAcentral.
AACACAUGCAAGUCGAACGAAUGCUUCGGCAUAGUGGCGCACGGGUGCGUAACGCGUGGGAAUCUGCCCUUGGGUUCGGAAUAACAGUGAGAAAUUACUGCUAAUACCGGAUGAUGACGAAAGUCCAAAGAUUUAUCGCCCAGGGAUGAGCCCGCGUAGGAUUAGCUAGUUGGUGUGGUAAGAGCGCACCAAGGCGACGAUCCUUAGCUGGUCUGAGAGGAUGAUCAGCCACACUGGGACUGAGACACGGCCCAGACUCCUACGGGAGGCAGCAGUGGGGAAUAUUGGACAAUGGGCGAAAGCCUGAUCCAGCAAUGCCGCGUGAGUGAUGAAGGCCUUAGGGUUGUAAAGCUCUUUUACCCGGGAUGAUAAUGACAGUACCGGGAGAAUAAG